Long non-coding RNA from Apodemus sylvaticus (European woodmouse), 532 nucleotides. RefSeq lists it as uncharacterized. NCBI's taxonomy places the organism in Eukaryota, Metazoa, Chordata, Mammalia, Rodentia, Muridae. The record is from RefSeq and is a predicted model, not a curated record. The transcript has 3 exons.
CCAGACACAUUCAACUGGCCUCCCAGGAACCAACCGAUCUUGCCCGUCCUGAAGUCGCAGUCCCAGACAGUAUGAUAACUUUCCCGCUCGUUAUAGAAGAAGCAAGUACGUGGGUAACUCAGCCUCCGGACCUGGAACGGAGGCAGCGCUCUGAGAGAGAUCGGAAAGGCGACUAAGCGGUCAUAAGAGCGAGCUCACAGAAGGAUGAACCAUCAGCUUCCAUAGAUUGGAGUCAAAGCUUUCCUCCUUAGGGGAUCUUCUGAAAGUAAAGCCCUCUCCCAAAGCUGCUGCUGACCUCUGCCGGGACAGGUACCACUUCUUACCUUGGGGCCCUUCGCGGAUUCCAGGUGGUGGGAAGCUAUGGUAAAGAAUAAAUCCAUGUCCACAGCACACCUGGCCUGGCUGACCAUCAGCUCUGUCAUGAAGUUGAAGUUUUUUGUUAUUGAAUAAUCAAGGAUAAAAAGAAACGUGUCUCUACGAAGUACUUAAGAAGUUAAUACAUAAUAAAAGAAAAUAAACACUAGAGGUCGGG